Molecule: ribosomal RNA, 779 nt
Filed under: uncultured Acinetobacter sp.
Lineage: Bacteria; Pseudomonadati; Pseudomonadota; Gammaproteobacteria; Moraxellales; Moraxellaceae
Description: bacterial SSU rRNA
Rfam family: Bacterial small subunit ribosomal RNA
Source: RNAcentral
GUAUAGCUUGCUAUACGACCUAGCGGCGGACGGGUGAGUAAUGCUUAGGAAUCUGCCUAUUAGUGGGGGACAACAUUCCGAAAGGAAUGCUAAUACCGCAUACGCCCUACGGGGGAAAGCAGGGAUCUUCGGACCUUGCGCUAAUAGAUGAGCCUAAGUCAGAUUAGCUAGUUGGUGGGGUAAAGGCCUACCAAGGCGACGAUCUGUAGCGGGUCUGAGAGGAUGAUCCGCCACACUGGGACUGAGACACGGCCCAGACUCCUACGGGAGGCAGCAGUGGGGAAUAUUGGACAAUGGGCGCAAGCCUGAUCCAGCCAUGCCGCGUGUGUGAAGAAGGCCUUUUGGUUGUAAAGCACUUUAAGCGAGGAGGAGGCUACUUGGAUUAAUACUCUAGGAUAGUGGACGUUACUCGCAGAAUAAGCACCGGCUAACUCUGUGCCAGCAGCCGCGGUAAUACAGAGGGUGCGAGCGUUAAUCGGAUUUACUGGGCGUAAAGCGUGCGUAGGCGGCUUUUUAAGUCGGAUGUGAAAUCCCUGAGCUUAACUUAGGAAUUGCAUUCGAUACUGGGAAGCUAGAGUAUGGGAGAGGAUGGUAGAAUUCCAGGUGUAGCAGGUGAAAUGCGUAGAGAUCUGGAGGAAUACCGAUGGCGAAGGCAGCCAUCUGGCCUAAUACUGACGCUGAGGUACGAAAGCAUGGGGAGCAAACAGGAUUAGAUACCCUGGUAGUCCAUGCCGUAAACGAUGUCUACUAGCCGUUGGGGCCUUUGAGGCUUUAGUGGC